This 701-nucleotide ribosomal RNA is filed under the name Thecaphora alsinearum. RNAcentral's name for it is "eukaryotic LSU rRNA". The stretch from base 225 to 379 matches the Rfam family "5.8S ribosomal RNA". The record is from RNAcentral. Lineage: Eukaryota; Fungi; Basidiomycota; Ustilaginomycetes; Urocystidales; Glomosporiaceae.
CUUGGUCAUUUAGAGGAAGUAAAAGUCGUAACAAGGUUUCUGUAGGUGAACCUGCAGAAGGAUCAUUGAAAAAUCAAUGGGGAAAAGGCAGCCCGCGCAAGGGUAGCCUUUUUCCUUUAUUCACACGCCUUUACACACCUGUGCACGUACAAAAAACCAUUUCACACGCUUAGAAAAUAGAGAAUGUCAUAAAAAUCCUUCCUAGGAAGGUGAAAGUUAAAUACAACUUUCGGCAACGGAUCUCUAGGUUCUCCUAUCGAUGAAGAACGCAGCGAAUUGCGAUAAGUAAUUGUGAAUUGCAGACAUCAGUGAAUCAUCGAAUCUUUGAACGCAUCUUGCGCCCUUUGGUAUUCCUUAGGGCAUGCCUGUUUGAGUGUCACGAGCAACCUUUGAACCUCGGAUUUUUUCAUGAAAGUCUGUUUGGGUUCAGUCUUGAGCGCUUGCCUGUUUUUUCAGGCUCGCUCUAAAUGCAUUAGCUGGCAUUUCGCUCCUGUCAUCCGGACCUGGUUUUAAAAAGGCCUGGUUCGGAUGGUUGGUUCGGCGUGAUAAUUUACAUCUGCUGGAUCAUUUCAGGGACGGAAUUCUGCUUCCAACCAAGGGAGCCGGUCCUUUUUCGAGGAUCGCGUCUCUGCACUUUUUGACAUCUGGCCUCAGACAGGUAGGACUACCCGCUGAACUUAAGCAUAUCAAUAAGCGGAGGA